Molecule: ribosomal RNA, 665 nt
Filed under: Erythrobacter sp. 32NM FL03
Lineage: Bacteria; Pseudomonadati; Pseudomonadota; Alphaproteobacteria; Sphingomonadales; Erythrobacteraceae
Description: bacterial SSU rRNA
Rfam family: Bacterial small subunit ribosomal RNA
Source: RNAcentral
CUACACAUGCAAGUCGAACGCCCUCUUUUAGAGGGAGUGGCGCACGGGUGCGUAACGCGUGGGAACCUGCCCUUAGGUUCGGAAUAACUCAGAGAAAUUUGAGCUAAUACCGGAUAAUGUCUUCGGACCAAAGAUUUAUCGCCUUUGGAUGGGCCCGCGUAGGAUUAGAUAGUUGGUGGGGUAAUGGCCUACCAAGUCGACGAUCCUUAGCUGGUCUGAGAGGAUGAUCAGCCACACUGGGACUGAGACACGGCCCAGACUCCUACGGGAGGCAGCAGUGGGGAAUAUUGGACAAUGGGCGAAAGCCUGAUCCAGCAAUGCCGCGUGAGUGAUGAAGGCCUUAGGGUUGUAAAGCUCUUUUACCAGGGAUGAUAAUGACAGUACCUGGAGAAUAAGCUCCGGCUAACUCCGUGCCAGCAGCCGCGGUAAUACGGAGGGAGCUAGCGUUGUUCGGAAUUACUGGGCGUAAAGCGCACGUAGGCGGCUUUUCAAGUCAGGGGUGAAAUCCCGGGGCUCAACCCCGGAACUGCCCUUGAAACUGGAUGGCUAGAAUACUGGAGAGGUGAGUGGAAUUCCGAGUGUAGAGGUGAAAUUCGUAGAUAUUCGGAAGAACACCAGUGGCGAAGGCGACUCACUGGACAGUUAUUGACGCUGAGGUGCGAAAG